UGUGGUGACUUUCAGUGUAACAGCAUCAUCUGACCAAUAGUUCACACAGACGCAAGGUGUAACUGGUACUUGAAACAGAUUAUGUUAACAAAAUAACCGAGACUCAAAGAUUAUUUUGGUACACUUUCUUUUUAGUGUCUUAUCAGUGGGUUGAUUCAUCUUCUACAUAAAUCAGUGUUUUAUGACCAAGAAUAUUGCUUGGAUUGUUUUGAAAGUACAAAAGAACCACAUAGUUUCUACUGAUAGGUUUCAGAACUCCAAAAGAUUAAUUUCCAACUUUGAGGUCUGUUUUUAUUUUCAACCUAUGACUUGACUGGUCCUAAAGCUUCUAUUUGAUUAAUACGUUGUCAUUGAUAGAAGCCUGUUGGUUCCGCAAACUGAAAUGAUUGCCGCAGACACUGUUUCCUUUUUCUUGUUGGUGUUGCUGAUUUGUGAGCAUGCUUUCUGAUUACAAAAGCGUGAGUGGCGACCUCCGUGAGUCACGGCAUCAGUUCGUACUCUGCUGUCCUGAUUUAAGCUGCCUAGUAUAGUGCUAUUACAGUUUUGUUCAGUUAACUUUCUUUUUAAAAAGUUGUUUGCACAUUUUUAGGGUGCCCUUACUUCAGUAAAGGAGACGGAGUAGGAGAGCCUUAGAACUUUUGAGGGGAAAAUAAAAAGCUAUAACAUAUAACGUACUGUAUCAAACUAUUUUACAUGAAUGACACAAAUAUUCUGAAUAAAAAAUUGAACAUUGUUAGAAAUAAGGUGUUGUGUAAUAAAUUUAUUUUUCAUAAAUC
This 776-nucleotide long non-coding RNA is filed under the name Rattus norvegicus (Norway rat). RNAcentral's name for it is "long non-coding RNA NONRATT020096". The record is from RNAcentral. Lineage: Eukaryota; Metazoa; Chordata; Mammalia; Rodentia; Muridae.